GCCAGGUGUGGUGGCUCACACCUGUAAUCCCAUCACUUUGGGAGGCCGAGGUGGGUGGAUCACCUGAGGUCAGGAGUUCGAGACCAGCCUGGCCAACAUGGUGAAACCCCAUCUCUA
Molecule: non-coding RNA, 117 nt
Filed under: Pan paniscus (pygmy chimpanzee)
Lineage: Eukaryota; Metazoa; Chordata; Mammalia; Primates; Hominidae
Also listed under: 1 other name
Source: Rfam by way of RNAcentral